GAUGAACGCUGGCGGUAUGCUUAACACAUGCGAGUCGAACGGACUCUUCGGAGUUAGUGGCGGACGGGUGAGUAACGCGUGAGAAUCUGGCUUUGGGUUCGGGACAACCACUGGAAACGGUGGCUAAUACCGGAUGUGCCGAGAGGUAAAAGAGAAAUUGCCUGAAGAUGAGCUCGCGUCUGAUUAGCUAGUUGGUGAGGUAAAGGCUCACCAAGGCAGCGAUCGGUAGCUGGUCUGAGAGGAUGACCAGCCACACUGGGACUGAGACACGGCCCAGACUCCUACGGGAGGCAGCAGUGGGGAAUUUUCCGCAAUGGGCGAAAGCCUGACGGAGCAAUACCGCGUGAGGGAAGAAGGCUCUUGGGUUGUAAACCUCUUUUCUUAGGGAAGAACAAAAUGACGGUACCUAAGGAAUCAGCAUCGGCUAACUCCGUG
This 435-nucleotide ribosomal RNA is filed under the name uncultured bacterium. RNAcentral describes it as "partial 16S ribosomal RNA". It matches the Rfam family "Bacterial small subunit ribosomal RNA", at positions 28 to 507 of the family's 1533-position model. The record is from RNAcentral.